AUCGAUUGAAAGUGCAGCGGGAUAUUUACGCCCCAAACUACGGAUGUCGUAUUCUCCUUAGGGACUAGGCGACAACAGUCGUGCUCGGCUAAAGCCAGAUCAGACGAAAAGGUUUUUGAUAUUGCAAGACAAACGAAAAUAAAGCAAGUUUGUUCCAGAAAAUCAUUGACAAAUAAGAUGUACUCACUAUAUUUUUGGUAUUUUUAUUUGUUUUACUUUGGGAACUAAAAUACUAGCACAUGCUAACAUGAGAAACAAGGAAAACUACAAGACAGCAACACAUAUAUGUUCAGCAACUAGUAUGAAAGAAAAGAAUUAAGAUCAAGGGACAAGAACAGAAGUACUUCACAUCACAAGCAUAUAUAUACUCACACGUACAUAGCUAACACAGGGACUAAGAAUUAAAGAUGUUCAAACUACUCACUUGACAGAGAGCACAAACAACACAAAAAUAGACAAGUAAGCUAGGUUCUUACAAAUGACUAGUUGAUAAACAGAGCACAUAUAUUGAACAGUACUACUAGACAAAUCUGAACAACACAUGCCAUACAAAUCUCAAUUCUAAACAUUACAAAAUACUAAACAUUAUACUACUCAAGAUUACAGAAAUUUGAGAGAGAGAAACAACAGCAGCAAGUUAGGGAAGUUGAGCGGAGGAGGAGCAGCGAAGGGGUUCAGAGAGAAAGAGAGAGACAGCAGGGGCGGCAGUAAGUUCAGAGAAGGAGCAGCAGCAGUAGGUUCAGAGAAAGAGUAGCAGUAGGUUCAGAGAAGGAGCGGCAAUAAGGUUUGGGAAGAAGAGGCAGCAGGGGAAAGGAGUAGUAGAAGCAGCGUGGAGGCGCAGGGGAGAAGAGAGCAACAACAGUUUGAGGCGAGGGAAGAAGAGAAGCAGCAGUAGGUUCAGAGAAGGCUUCAACAGAGGCGCAACAUGUAGUUUGGAGAUGGAGAAGGAGUUCGGGUUCAGGGAGCAACAACAGAGGUGAGGAAGAAGAGGGUAGCAGUAGGAGGACUGGAGGAUGGUGUGGUGGCGCUGGAUAUGGUGAUGGAUGGUGUGUGGCGGCGGUGCUGGAGAUGGUGAUGGAUGGCGCGGUGGUUCGAGGUGGUGAUGCGGCGCUGGUAGUGGCGGGUGGUGGAGAUGGAGUGGAUGAUGGAGUGGUGGCUGGAUGGACGGCGCUGGGCGCUGGUGGCGCACCUACCACGCCGGCCUGGCCAUGGCGGCGGCCAGAGGUGGAGAAGAAGGGUAAGGGAAAGAGAGAGAUGCCAGGCCCGAUUUGGGGAUUGAGAGCGCUAGGGAUUUGAUCCCCUUAAUCAGAUCUUCCCCUUUGCAAUCUGGCCCCUCUCCUUUUCUUCCUUCUGCACAAGUUGGUCCUCCUCUUAUUUAGGCAAACCCUUCAAGCUUUAGUGUUCAUCACACUUGGGUCCCUCCAUCUUUCUGUCCUGCCCUUGUCUCUUCUCAUCAGCCCCAUAGUCCAAAUUUUGAAGUUUAUAGGCCUUUUCGCCCUAUUCUGCAAAAUAAACAAAUUACUAGUCACGAGCUCUUUCGUGAAUAUCAUUUGAAUAUUCGAUAAUUCUAAGCAAGGAUAGAUUGACAUAUCUCAAUAAAUGGUGUAUAUGUGUGCCCAAAUCGUAUAUAUGAAAUGUGCUUAUCAAGUACCCCCACACUUAAAUCUUUGCUUGUCCUCAAGCAAAGGCAUUUGACAAGAGCAAGGUAGUGAUCAGCGAACUGACUAGAGAAUGUCCCAGUGAAGUAGAUCUCCAAACAAUGCAUGCUUUGAACUUUUGCUAGUGAAAAUCAAUGGUUAAGAGUGCUACAAAGCAGUAUGAUACUAGUAAGCAUGACCAUUUUUAACUUUUACAAUGAUAAAAGAGGAUCAACAAGUUUAAAUGAUGACUGUGCCAAAUGGUUCCUAAAGAGAGCAUGAUCUCGAGAACAAAAUGAACUGGAAUUAAAUCUUGUGAUCAAUCGAUCAUUUUGGCGCCUAUCACGCGGGUGACCUGAGUUCGAUCCCCGGCAACGGCGCCAAAAUGAUCGAUUGAAAGUGCAGCGGGAUAUUUACGCCCCAAACUACGGAUGUCGUAUUCUCCUCAGGGACUAGGCAACGACAGUCGUGCUCGGCCAAAGCUAGAUCUGACGAAAAGGUUUUUGAUAUUGCAAAACAAACGAAAAUAAAGCAAGUUUGUUCCAGAAAAUCAUUGACAAAUAAGAUGUACUCACUAUAUUUUUGGUAUUUUUAUUUGUUUUACUUUGGUAACUAAAAUACUAGCACAUGCUAACAUGAGAAACAAGGAAAACUGCUAGACAGCAACACAUAUAUGUUCAGCAACUAGUAUGAAAGAAAAGAAUUAAUAUCAAGGGACAAGAACAGAAGUACUUCACAUCACAAGCAUAUAUAUACUCACACGUACAUAGCUAACACAUGGACUAAGAAUUAAAGAUGUUCAAACUACUCACUUGACAGAGAGCACAAACAACACAAAAAUAGACAAGUAAGCUAGGUUCUUACAAAUGACUAGUUGAUAAACAGAGCACAUAUAUUGAACAGUACUACUAGACAAAUCUGAACAACACAUGCCAUACAAAUCUCAAUUCUAAACAUUACAAAAUACUAAACAUUAUACUACUCAAGAUUACAGAAAUUUGAGAGAGAGAGAAACAGCAGCGGCAAGUUAGGGAAGUUGAGCGAAGGACUAGCAGCGAAGGGGUUCAGAGAGAAAGUGAGAGACAGCAGGGGCAGCAGUAAGUUCAGAGAAGGAGCAGCAGCAGUAGGUUCAGAGAAAGAGUAGCAGUAGGUUCAGAGAAGGAGCGGCAGCAUGGUUUGGGAAGAAGAGGCAGUAGGGUAAAGGAGUAGUAGAAGCAGCGUGGAGGCGCAGAGGAGAAGAGAGCAACAGCAGUUUGAGGCGAGGGAAGAAGAGAAGCAGCAGUAGGUUCAGAGAAGGCUUCAGCAGAGGCGCAGCAUGCAGUUUGGAGAUGGAGAAGGAGUUCGGGUUCAGGGGAGCAACAACGGAGGUGAGGAAGAAGAGGGUAGCAGUAGGAGGACUGGAGGAUGGUGUGGUGGCGUUGGAUAUGGUGAUGGAUGGUGUGCGGUGGCGGUGCUGGAUGGCGCGGUGGUUCGAGGUGGUGAUGCGGCGCUGGCAGCGACGGUUGGUGGAGAUGGAGUGGAUGAUGGAGUGGUGGCUGGAUGGAUGGCGCUGGUUGCUGGUGGUGCACCUACCAUGCCAGCCUGGCCAUGGCGGCGGCCGGAGGUGGAGAAGGAGGGUAAGGGAAAGAGAGAGAGAUGCCAGACCCGAUUUGGGGAUUGAGAGCGCUAGGGAUUUGAUCCCCUCGAUCAGAUCUUCCCCUUUGCAAUCUGGCCCCUCUCCUUUUCUUCCUUCUGCACAAGUUGGUCCUCCUCUUAUUUAGGCAAACCCUUCAAGCUUUAGUGUACAUCACACUUGGGUCCCUCCAUCUUUCUGUCGUGCCCUUGUCUCUUCUCAUUAGCCCCAUAGUCCAAAUCUUGAAGUUUAUAGGCCUUUUCGCCUUAUUCUGCAAAAUAAAC
Molecule: long non-coding RNA, 3533 nt
Filed under: Triticum aestivum (bread wheat)
Lineage: Eukaryota; Viridiplantae; Streptophyta; Magnoliopsida; Poales; Poaceae
Description: long non-coding RNA (TAES_LNC023675)
Source: RNAcentral